RNAcentral lists this ribosomal RNA (1233 nucleotides) under uncultured archaeon. RNAcentral's name for it is "bacterial SSU rRNA". It matches the Rfam family "Archaeal small subunit ribosomal RNA", at positions 175 to 1411 of the family's 1478-position model. The record is from RNAcentral.
AUGCUUGAGCAUCCAAACUCGUGCCAAAGGAUGGGGUGGCGGCGGAUUAGCUUUGUUGGUGAGGUAACGGCUCACCAAGGCGACGAUCUGUACGGGCGAUGAGAGUCGUAGCCCGGAGAGGGACACUGAGAAACUGGUCCCAGCCCUACGGGGUGCAGCAGGCGCGGAACCUCUACAAUGCACGAAAGUGUGAUAGGGGGAUCCUCAGUGCCCAUGGUUUCCAUGGGCUUUUGUCAAGAGUAAAUAUCUUGGCGAAUAAGUGGUGGGUAAGACUGGUGCCAGCAGCCGCGGUAACACCAGCGCCACGAGUGGCAUUCACAUUUAUUGGGUCUAAAGCGUUCGUAGCCGGGUGUACACAUCUCUUGUGAAAUGGACCGACUUAAUCGUUCCGACUGCUUGAGACACGGUACACCUUGGGACCGGGAGGAGCUAGAGGUAUGCCUAGGGGAGCGGUAAAAUGUGAUAAUCCUAGGUAGACCACCUGCGGCGAAGGCGUCUAGCUAGAACGGAUCCGACGGUGAGGAACGAAGGCCAGGGGAGCGAACCGGAUUAGAUACCCGAGUAGUCCUGGCAGUAAACGCUGCGUGCUAGGUGUAGUGUGUCCUAUAGGACAUGCUGUAUCGAAUCGAAGGAGUUAAGCACGCCACCUGGGAAGUACGGUCGCAAGACUGACAACUUUAAAGGAAUUGGCGGGGGAGCACUACAAGGGGUGCGGCGUGCGGUUUUAAUCUAACUCAACACAGAGAAUCUCACCAGAGGCGACUGCAGGAUGAAGGUCAGUCUAAAGGGCUUACCUGACGCGCAGAGAGGUAGUGCAUGGCCGUCGUCAGCUCGUGCUGUAAGGUGUCCUGUUAAGUCAGGUAACGAGCGAGACCUGCGCUCACAAUUGCCAGCAGUAUCCACGGAUAGACUGGGCACAUUGUGAGGACUGCUCCGGAAACGGAGAGGAAGGUGCAGGCUACGGUAGGUCUGUAUGCUCCGAAUCUUCUGGGCAACACGCGCGCAACAAUGGUAUGGACAAUGGGAUACUACUCCGAAAGGAGACGUUAAACCUCGAAACCAUAUCCAAGUACAGAUCGAGGGUUGGAACUCACCCUCGUGACGCUGGAAUCCCUAGUAAUCGGAAGUCAUCAACUUCCGGUGAAUACGUCCCUGCUCCUUGCACACACCGCCCGUCAAACCACUCGAGCAUAGUUUCAGUGAGUCUAUAACUUUGUGUUACAGCCAAACUGA